CCAGAAGUAGAUAGCUUAACCUUCGGGAGGGCGUUUACCACGGUGUGAUUCAUGACUGGGGUGAAGUCGUAACAAGGUAACCCUAGGGGAACCUGGGGUUGGAUCACCUCCUUACCUUAA
Molecule: ribosomal RNA, 120 nt
Filed under: Aeromonas veronii
Lineage: Bacteria; Pseudomonadati; Pseudomonadota; Gammaproteobacteria; Aeromonadales; Aeromonadaceae
Also listed under: 3 other names
Description: partial 16S ribosomal RNA
Rfam family: Bacterial small subunit ribosomal RNA
Source: RNAcentral